UCCAGGACAAUCCUCUGAUCCUGCAGUCAGACAGGAAUGUGACGGUGAACGCAAGAAACAACCUUGGUCAGCUAACAGGACAGCUCACUGUGGGCUCGGAGAUGGUGGAGGCCCAGUGUCAGAGGUUCGAGGUGAGGAGUCCUGACGGGGAGCGGGUGCUCUUCUCCGCUGACGAGAAGGAGAUCAGCAUCGGCACUGAGAAACUGAGGGUGACAGGGAACGAAGGUGUCGUCUUCGGACAUUCAGUGGAGACAUCCCACAUCAGAGCAGAACCUUUCCAGGAUCUCAAGUAAGCAUUCUGGAAUCAC
Oncorhynchus kisutch (coho salmon) is the source of this 308-nucleotide long non-coding RNA. RefSeq lists it as uncharacterized. Lineage: Eukaryota; Metazoa; Chordata; Actinopteri; Salmoniformes; Salmonidae. The record is from RefSeq and is a predicted model, not a curated record. The transcript is spliced from 3 exons.